This is a long non-coding RNA of Gorilla gorilla gorilla (western lowland gorilla), 1432 nucleotides long. RefSeq lists it as uncharacterized. Lineage: Eukaryota; Metazoa; Chordata; Mammalia; Primates; Hominidae. The record is from RefSeq and is a predicted model, not a curated record. The transcript is spliced from 5 exons.
GGCAGAGGGUGGGGCUGGGGUUCCAGGAAGCCGAAGGUCCUUUCACAGAUGGACCGUUAAGCCAGCCCAGGGGACGGCAGUGCAGCCUGAGGGAGCAAGAACUGUCACCACGGUCUGCCCGGGAAGCACUGAGGUGAUGCUGGGGUUGCAGUGAGCUGUCGAACUAGAUGUGUCAGAAAUGAGAAAGGAGAUGAGAGAACAAAUUAGAAUACAGAGUGAUCGACACUUUGAUGAAGGAAGUAGAUGGAGCCUGGGGUCCAUGAAACCCACUGCCAAACCAACCCAGACAGACUCAGUGUGACAUUACAAGCAUCCUGGGUGGAACUGCAAGACAUAGUUAUUUCAAGAGUAUGAAGAGUGUGCUGGCCAAACUCCAAGAUGGCCGCAUGAUCCCUCCUCCAGGUACUCAUGCGCUUGUAUGGUUUGCUCCCACAAUCUUCCGAGGAUUUGGUUGUAUGACUGAUCGAAUACAGCAGAGGCGAUGGCAUAGGACAUCUGAGGCUACGUCAUCUAAGGGAUACACAGGAAUUCACUCCCAUCCUCCCAUGUGGCUUCUACUUUGCUCUUAAUCUCUCAGAUCUCUCACUCUGGCAGACACCACCCACCAUGUCCUGAGGACACUCAAGCAGCUCUGUGGCCUCCUGACAAUAGCUGUUAGGUGAAACACCUUGGGUGCAGACCCUCUAGCCCCACUCCAGCCUUCAGAAGACAGCAGCCCCAGCUCAUGUGGGACCCUGAGCCAGACCACCAAGCAAACCACUCCCAGAUUCCUGACCCACAGAAACUGUGAGAUAAUGAAAGUCUGCUGUUUGAAGUCACUAAGUUCAGUGUAACUGUCACGGGCAAGAGACAGCCAAUACAAUACCUUCCUGCUUCAUACAUCAUUUUUGCAUCUAUCCAAAAUGGGAAGAAUAUUUCACAGACUUGAUGCGAAGCUGCAAGACUCCUGGUACUCCACUAAUGCAGUUGGGUCAGAGGGUGAAGAAGCAAAAGAGAGGCUGAGGGACUUGUCCAAGGUAACACAGCACUCAGCAGGGCUGCAGUGGAGCCUCAGCUUGAACUGAGCAUGCCUACUGCAAACACUGGGAUGUGAAUCACCGUCGCAGUAUUCCCAAAGCCUUCGUCCACCUUUCCAUAAGGUACAGCGCAGGAGCAUGUUAAAGCUGGCCACCAUCAACUCUAGGGAACUGCUCCUGCCUCAAAAGUGUCAGCAAUGCCUAAAGCUCUACAUUGUCAUUAAUCAAAAGUCAGCAAGGCCGAGGCGGGCAGAUCACCUGAGUUUUCUAGUAGACAUUGGUCAUGGAAAAAUCUGGUGACCAAGAAAUCAAAAAUGUGUUUGUUCCCCUCUUUCCUCAACACAGAGAAUGGUCCUCAUGCCACAUCCACCCUCCAGUUUAUUGAAGUGAACAAAUAAACUUAAACACAAAUCAUG